RNAcentral lists this long non-coding RNA (828 nucleotides) under Monodelphis domestica (gray short-tailed opossum). RNAcentral describes it as "lncRNA (ENSMODG00000039701.1)". Lineage: Eukaryota; Metazoa; Chordata; Mammalia; Didelphimorphia; Didelphidae. The record is from RNAcentral.
CCUGAGAGGAGUCCUUUCCUUCCUUCUUUUCCUUCCUCAUUUCUUUCUUUCUUCCUUCCUUCCUUCCUUCUUUGUCUUUCUUGCUUUCUUUUCUUUUUUCUUUCUGUCUCCCUUUCUUUUUUCCUUCCUUCUUCCUUUUUUCCUUCUUUCUUUAUUUCCCUCUCUUUCCUUCCUUUUUUCCUUCUUUCUUCCUCUUCCUUCCUUCCUUUCCUUCUUUCCUUUCCUUUUAUUCUUUCUUUCUUUCCUUCCUUCAUCCUUUCAUUCUUCCUUCUUUCUGUCUUUUUUCUCUGUCUCUUUCCUUCCUUAUUUCUUUCUUCCUUUCCUUCUUUUUCUCUUCCUUUCUCUCUUUCCUUCCUUUUUUCUUUCCUUCUUUCUUUUUUCUUCCUUCCUUCCUUCCCUCCCUCCCUCCAUUCCUUGCUUCCUUCCUUUUCCCCUUCUUUCUUUCCUUGUUUCUUUCUCUCACUCUUUCUUUUCUUCUUUUUCUCUCACUUUUUCUUUCCUUCCUUUUUCUUUCCUUCCCUCCCUCCCUUCUUUCUUUCUUUCUUUCUGUCUUUCUCUCUCUUAAUUUUCUUUUUUCCUUCCUUUUUAUUCCUUCCUUCUUUUUUCUUUCCUUCUUUCCUUCCUUCUUUCUCUCUUUUCCUUUCUUCCUUCCUUCCUUUCUCUUUCUUUCUUUCUUUCUUUCUUUCUUUCUUUCUUUCUUUCUUUCUUUCUUUCAUCCUGCCUACUUUCUUUUCUUCUUGCUUUCUUACUUUCCUUCUUUUGUUUUUUUUCGUGCUUUCUCUCUCUCUAUUUCUUUCCUUCCUUUUUUCAUUUUUUAUUUCCAUCGUG